This is a long non-coding RNA of Quercus lobata, 2185 nucleotides long. RefSeq lists it as uncharacterized. The record is from RefSeq and is a predicted model, not a curated record. The transcript has 7 exons. Lineage: Eukaryota; Viridiplantae; Streptophyta; Magnoliopsida; Fagales; Fagaceae.
AGCCCAAACAAUAAUUGCAACUAAUGAUUCUUAAUUUAAUUUUUAUCGUUCCAGAUGAUGAAUCAGCUCCAAUUGGAACUACAACUUAGCGUAUGACAUUCUUUGAAUAUUUUUGAAAACAAUUACUACCAAAUCUGGUCACUAAUGCUGCUUCUCUUCACUUAAUGAAAUUCUUCAGGAAUUUAAUAGAUAUCCUACUUUGAACAUGAUUGCAUUAAAGUUCAUCUAUGAAUGAAUAUUCACACAGUUUCUUUUUAAAAUUUUCUUUCAGAUUUUGACUACUGUUUUUGAUUACUACAAGGGCAAUCCUUAAAUAAUUGAUGACAUAUUUGCAUCACUUGAAUUGAAGAUUCAUGAUGGUGAAAAUGGCCAUUAUGUGUAGGAUGUUUUUUUGGUAUUAGUUGUUGGUAUAUAAGACUUGGUAUAAGUAGCAAAAGAUAUAUUUCUUACUACAUUUGGUAUAUUGGAAGCUUCAAGGAGGCUGAAAAUUCAUUAUAGAUGAAUCAUUAUGAUUUUGUUAAUAAGUUGAACAAAAUGGUCAAACUUCACCCUUUCGUUUUUCUUUAUAAAGAUGGUUGUGGUUAAACAAAAAUUUCUUCCCGCUGGACUCAAUUGCACAUCUUCCUGCUGGACUAUGAGUUAAACAAAAUGGUCAAACUUCACCCUUUCAUUUCCACCUUGCAGUUUGAUUUUCAUUUCUUAUAAUAUUUGUCUCUUAUUCAUUUGAGAAUUUGUCUGCUUCUAGUGCAUAAUUUCUUCUUUCGACAUUUUCAAUUUUACCAAAUAACAAGUAUGCUUGCUGAUUGUUUGAAAUUGAAAUUUAAGUGAAGCACACAAGCAGUUCGAUGAAAUGCUUUGUCAAGAUAUUGAAUCUGUUUGCUUAGAUGUUUCUGACCUAUGCAAUUCAUCAAGCCAAUGGUUCGUGUUUUAUUUUUAAUUUCUAAAACAUAAUUUUGUUUCUUUACUUUUAUUGAUUCGCUGAAUAAUAUUUCUUAGAUUUUUCCAUUAUUUUAUUGAGAGGUAAGUGACAACAGAACAAGAAUGCAUCAAACAUAUUACCAAGAGAAAUAAAAAUCAACUUUGCACUAAACUAUAGACUCAGAAUCCUUAAGUAUCCUUCCUUUCUCAAAGAGGCUAUGGCAGCAAGUUAAGUCAUAGCGUCUAAUAUAAUCCUAGGCAUAUAGUUGGUACCAAGUAGUCCUUUAGGGGCAAAAAUAAGUUGAAGGCCAAUAUUUUGAAAAGCACCAUAAGAGAAAUUGCUAGGUCUGCAGUGGUUUAUUAUGUUUGUAUACUUAUUUUCUACAUUGCCAAAAUAAGAACAAACUUCAAAGAAAGUGUGAAUUCAAAACUGGAUUCCAUUGUAGAAUGUUCUAACCAAAGUUACUAUUUUUUUAUUGAUUGCAUUGCUCAUAUGGUUACUGCAUUUUUCCAUUUUCUGCUUUUUUCCCCCCUUAAUGUGGUUUAACUAUUGAAAAAAUUUGGAUUUGGAUGGAAAACAUAAGAAUAUGCAAUGUUUGAGAGGUUUCUAUGCGGUUUGAAGUGUCUGCUGGAAUUCAAAACCUCUAAGAUUCAGAUUCUAGAGCUAAAAUGGGAGGAAUGUGGAGCAGUCAUUAAAGGACUAGAUCCUAUGUCAAGGUCAUCAGUAGGUUCUGAAAGCUGAAAAUUUGAAAUGGGUUGCCAAAGGAAGGUAUUUGAAGUUGAGAAGAAUUGGGACUAUAGAGUCUGUUCAUAAGACUAUUCAGGGAUGCAGCGAACACAUGGGAAGUGGACACUGAAUUUAAACCACCUGAUGUACUUUUCUGCAGUUUUCUUGGAUGUAUAGCACAUGAUCAUAUAUUGGAGGGAUGCAGCAAACACAUGGGAAGUGGACACUGCAUUUAAACCAUCUGGUGUACUUUUAAGCAGUUUUCUUGGAAGUAUAGCACCUGACAUGAUCAUAUAUUGGAUGUAUAGAUCUCUCUCUUUUCAUGAUAUGUCUAUAUGAUGGUGUAAAACCAAUAAAGAAUUUGGUAAAGAAAAUUAUUGUUGGAUGCUUAAUACGGUUCUAUGUAUUAUAUGUGUCGUGUAUGAAGAUGAAAAGAUAACAGUCCAGGUCCAUUAGAUAUUUCAUAAUUGGAAACUCAUAUGUUGGGGGCAAUUUCUUGAGUUAGUAUUUUGGCAAAAAGAUGGCAGUUUCUUGAGAUUA